AUUCAGCCCAAAUCGAACGGCCCAAGGACUAAAGCCCAAUUGGAGGAUCCCCAAAUCAGAUAGCCCAAAGAACGAAGUACAAUCGAACAAAUCAAGGUGAAGGCCCAAAUAAGGGGGCCCAAGAGUGCUGUAACGCCAUCGCCCAAGUUUGCAAGUCGCCCAGAAUCUGAACGAAUAGAGUGUCAUACGGUCGCCCAGAACUGUUAUUCUAUUCUCGCCCAAACCUUCAAGUCGCCCAAGGUAUCAACAGACAUAACGCGUCGUGGUUAUCAAGAAAUGCAGUUAAAA
Molecule: long non-coding RNA, 288 nt
Filed under: Olea europaea subsp. europaea
Lineage: Eukaryota; Viridiplantae; Streptophyta; Magnoliopsida; Lamiales; Oleaceae
Source: RNAcentral